CGAUUGUUGAUCCAAUAAUCAAGUACAGGUGGUCUGGAGUCCGGGUUGUGACCGGGGCCUGUGUUUGGACCCCUGGUAGGUUUGAAACUGAAGUCGUAGCAAUACUUGCGACCGGGGCCAGGGUCCGCAGUGAAUCUGAAAUCGUGGUUUUAGUGGGGACCGUGAUAGGAAGUAAGGCCCGCGACGUGCCUGGAACUAGGGUACCGGUAAGGGUUAGGAUGGUGGCUAGGGUCCGGGGUGGACCUGAAAUCGUGGUUCUGGUGGGGACCGUGAUAGAACCAAAGGUCCGGGACAUGUCUGGAACCAGGGUACCUGUAAGGGUCGGGGUGGUGGCCAGGGUCCGGGAUGAAUAUGAAACCAUGGUUCCGGUGGGGACCGUGAUAGGAAAUAAGGUCCGGGACGUGUCCGGAACUAGAGUACCG
Paramuricea clavata is the source of this 422-nucleotide non-coding RNA. Lineage: Eukaryota; Metazoa; Cnidaria; Anthozoa; Malacalcyonacea; Plexauridae. The record is from the annotation of a GenBank genome assembly.